Molecule: ribosomal RNA, 563 nt
Filed under: Fusarium solani
Lineage: Eukaryota; Fungi; Ascomycota; Sordariomycetes; Hypocreales; Nectriaceae
Description: partial large subunit ribosomal RNA
Rfam family: Eukaryotic large subunit ribosomal RNA
Source: RNAcentral
CCCCAGUAACGGCGAGUGAAGCGGCAACAGCUCAAAUUUGAAAUCUGGCUCUCGGGCCCGAGUUGUAAUUUGUAGAGGAUGCUUUUGGUGAGGUGCCUUCCGAGUUCCCUGGAACGGGACGCCAUAGAGGGUGAGAGCCCCGUCUGGUUGGACGCCGAACCUCUGUAAAGCUCCUUCGACGAGUCGAGUAGUUUGGGAAUGCUGCUCUAAAUGGGAGGUAUAUGUCUUCUAAAGCUAAAUACCGGCCAGAGACCGAUAGCGCACAAGUAGAGUGAUCGAAAGAUGAAAAGAACUUUGAAAAGAGAGUUAAAAAGUACGUGAAAUUGUUGAAAGGGAAGCGCUUGUGACCAGACUUGGGCUUGGUUGAUCAUCCGGGGUUCUCCCCGGUGCACUCUUCCGGCCCAGGCCAGCAUCAGUUCGCCCUGGGGGACAAAGGCUUCGGGAACGUGGCUCUCUCCGGGGAGUGUUAUAGCCCGUUGCGUAAUACCCUGUGGCGGACUGAGGUUCGCGCAUUCGCAAGGAUGCUGGCGUAAUGGUCAUCAACGACCCGUCUUGAAACACGG